RNAcentral lists this microRNA (21 nucleotides) under Physcomitrium patens. RNAcentral's name for it is "ppt-miR160b". Its record names the gene ppt-miR160b. Lineage: Eukaryota; Viridiplantae; Streptophyta; Bryopsida; Funariales; Funariaceae. The record is from miRBase by way of RNAcentral.
CGCCUGGCUCCCUGUAUGCCA